This 253-nucleotide ribosomal RNA is filed under the name uncultured bacterium. Its description in RNAcentral is "partial 16S ribosomal RNA". It matches the Rfam family "Bacterial small subunit ribosomal RNA", at positions 524 to 776 of the family's 1533-position model. The record is from RNAcentral.
UACAGAGGGUGCGAGCGUUGUCCGGAAUCACUGGGCGUAAAGGGCGCGUAGGCGGCCCGGUAAGUCGGGGGUGAAAUUCUGCGGCUCAACCGCAGGACGGCCUUCGAGACUGUCGGGCUCGAGCACGGUAGAGGCUGGUGGAAUUCCCGGUGUAGCGGUGGAAUGCGUAGAGAUCGGGAAGAACAUCGGUGGCGAAGGCGGCCAGCUGGGCCGUUGCUGACGAUGAGGCGCGACAGAGUGGGGAGCAAACAGG